RNAcentral lists this transfer RNA (65 nucleotides) under Calochromus glaucopterus. RNAcentral's name for it is "tRNA-Phe". The record is from RNAcentral. Lineage: Eukaryota; Metazoa; Arthropoda; Insecta; Coleoptera; Lycidae.
UGUUUUAAUAGCUUAUAAAGAGCAUAAUAUUGAAGAUAUUAAGGAAGUAUUGUACUUUAGGAUAU